Molecule: ribosomal RNA, 460 nt
Filed under: uncultured bacterium
Lineage: Bacteria
Description: partial 16S ribosomal RNA
Rfam family: Bacterial small subunit ribosomal RNA
Source: RNAcentral
CCUACGGGAGGCAGCAGUGAGGAAUAUUGGUCAAUGGACGAGAGUCUGAACCAGCCAAGUAGCGUGAAGGAUGACUGCCCUAUGGGUUGUAAACUUCUUUUAUAUGGGAAUAAAAUGUUCCACGUGUGGGAUUUUGUCUGUACCAUAUGAAUAAGGCUCGGCUAACUCCGUGCCAGCAGCCGCGGUAAUACGGAGGAUCCGCGCGUUAUCCGGAUUUAUUGGGUGUAAAGGGAGCGUAGGUGGAUUGUUAAGUCAGUUGUGAAAGUUUGCGGCUCAACCGUAAAAUUGCAGUUGAAACUGGCAGUCUGGAGUACAGUAGAGGUGGGCGGAAUUCGUGGUGUAGCGGUGAAAUGCUUAGAGAUCACGAAGAACUCCGAUUGCGAAGGCAGCUCACUGGACUGCAACUGACACUGAGGCUCGAAAGUGUGGGUAUCAAACAGGAUUAGAUACCCCUGUAGUC